AGGGUGAUCGGCCACAUUGGGACUGAGAUACGGCCCAGACUCCUACGGGAGGCAGCAGUAGGGAAUUUUGCGCAAUGGACGAAAGUCUGACGCAGCAACUCCGCGUGAGGGAUGAAUGCCUUCGGGUUGUAAACCUCUGUUGAGUGGGAAGAAAAAUUUUAUUGCUAAUAUCAAUAAAACAUGACGGUACCAUUCGAGGAAGCUCCGGCUAACUACGUGCCAGCAGCCGCGGUAAUACGUAGGGAGCUAGCGUUGUUCGGAAUUACUGGGCGUAAAGGGAGUGUAGGCGGAAAAGUAAGUUAGAAGUGAAAUGUAUCGGCUUAACCGAUAACCUGCUUUUAAUACUGCUUUUCUUGAGUAUGGGAGAGGAAGAUGGAAUUCCAGGUGUAGCGGUGGAAUGCGUAGGUAUCUGGAAGAACACCAGUUGCGAAGGCGGUCUUCUGGCCCAACACUGACGCUGAGGCUCGAAAGCUAGGGGAGCGAACAGGAUUAGAUACCCUGGUAGUCCUAGCCGUAAACGAUGGACACUAGAUGCUGGGAACGAUUAGUUUUCGGUGUCGAAGCUAACGCAUUAAGUGUCCCGCCUGGGGAGUACGCUCGCAAGUGUGAAACUCAAAGGAAUUGACGGGGGCCCGCACAAGCGGUGGAGCAUGUGCUUUAAUUCGAUGCAACGCGAAGAACCUUACCUGGUCUUGACAUGGGAGUGAAAGUCUCUAGAGAUAAAGACCUUCCCUUCGGGGACACUCUACACAGGUGCUGCAUGGUUGUCGUCAGCUCGUGUCGUGAGAUGUUGGGUUAAGUCCCGCAACGAGCGCAACCCCUGUCCUUAGUUGCCAUCAGGUCAAGCUGGGAACUCUAAGGAGACUGCCUGGAUUAACCAGGAGGAAGGUGGGGAUGACGUCAAAUCCUCAUGGCCCUUACGACCAGGGCUAGACACGUGCUACAAUGGGUGGUACAACGGGAUGCUAGAUCGUGAGGUUAAGCUAAUCCCUUAAAACCAUUCUCAGUUCGGAUUGGAGUCUGCAAUUCGACUCCAUGAAGUUGGAAUCGCUAGUAAUCGCGGAUCAGCAUGCCGCGGUGAAUACGUUCCCGGGCCUUGUACACACCGCCCGUCAAGCCAUGAAAGAUGAUAGUACCCAAAGUCGUUAUCCUAACCUUUUUGGAGGGAAGCGCCUAAGGUAAGAUCAUUAAUUGGGGCUAAGUCGUAACAAGGUA
This 1215-nucleotide ribosomal RNA is filed under the name metagenome. RNAcentral describes it as "bacterial SSU rRNA". It matches the Rfam family "Bacterial small subunit ribosomal RNA", at positions 297 to 1498 of the family's 1533-position model. The record is from RNAcentral.